RNAcentral lists this ribosomal RNA (254 nucleotides) under uncultured bacterium. RNAcentral's name for it is "partial 16S ribosomal RNA". It matches the Rfam family "Bacterial small subunit ribosomal RNA", at positions 524 to 776 of the family's 1533-position model. The record is from RNAcentral.
UACGUAGGCAGCGAGCGUUGUUCGGAAGUUACUGGGCGUAAAGAGUGCUGUAGGCGGUGUUCAAGUCUGUUGUGAAAUCUCCCGGCUUAACUGGGAGGGUGCGGCGGAAACUGGAAUGCUAGAGGAUGGGAGAGGUAAGGCGGAAUUCCUGGUGUAGCGGUGAAAUGCGUAGAUAUCAGGAGGAACACCUGUGGUGUAGACAGCUUACUGGACCAUUCUGACGCUGAGACACGAAAGCGUGGGUAGCAAACAGG